GACGAACGCUGGCGGCGUGCUUAACACAUGCAAGUCGAACGGAAAGGCCCUGCUUUUGUGGGGUGCUCGAGUGGCGAACGGGUGAGUAACACGUGAGUAACCUGCCCUUGACUUUGGGAUAACUUCAGGAAACUGGGGCUAAUACCGGAUAGGAGCUCCUGCUGCAUGGUGGGGGUUGGAAAGUUUCGGCGGUUGGGGAUGGACUCGCGGCUUAUCAGCUUGUUGGUGGGGUAGUGGCUUACCAAGGCUUUGACGGGUAGCCGGCCUGAGAGGGUGACCGGCCACAUUGGGACUGAGAUACGGCCCAGACUCCUACGGGAGGCAGCAGUGGGGAAUAUUGCACAAUGGGCGGAAGCCUGAUGCAGCAACGCCGCGUGCGGGAUGACGGCCUUCGGGUUGUAAACCGCUUUCGCCUGUGACGAAGCGUGAGUGACGGUAAUGGGUAAAGAAGCACCGGCUAACUACGUGCCAGCAGCCGCGGUGAUACGUAGGGUGCGAGCGUUGUCCGGAUUUAUUGGGCGUAAAGGGCUCGUAGGUGGUUGAUCGCGUCGGAAGUGUAAUCUUGGGGCUUAACCCUGAGCGUGCUUUCGAUACGGGUUGACUUGAGGAAGGUAGGGGAGAAUGGAAUUCCUGGUGGAGCGGUGGAAUGCGCAGAUAUCAGGAGGAACACCAGUGGCGAAGGCGGUUCUCUGGGCCUUUCCUGACGCUGAGGAGCGAAAGCGUGGGGAGCGAACAGGCUUAGAUACCCUGGUAGUCCACGCUGUAAACGGUGGGUACUAGGUGUGGGGUCCAUUCCACGGGUUCCGUGCCGUAGCUAACGCUUUAGGUACCCCGCCUGGGGAGUACGGCCGCAAGGCUAAAACUCAAAGGAAUUGACGGGGCCCCGCACAAGCGGCGGAGCAUGCGGAUUAAUUCGAUGCAACGCGUAGAACCUUACCUGGGUUUGACAUGGAUCGGGAGCGCUCAGAGAUGGGUGUGCCUCUUUUGGGGUCGGUUCACAGGUGGUGCAUGGCUGUCGUCAGCUCGUGUCGUGAGAUGUUGGGUUAAGUCCCGCAACGAGCGCAACCCUUGUUCACUGUUGCCAGCACGUUAUGGUGGGGACUCAGUGGAGACCGCCGGGGUCAACUCGGAGGAAGGUGGGGAUGACGUCAAGUCAUCAUGCCCCUUAUGUCCAGGGCUUCACGCAUGCUACAAUGGCUGGUACAGAGAGUGGCGAGCCUGUGAGGGUGAGCGAAUCUCGGAAAGCCGGUCUCAGUUCGGAUUGGGGUCUGCAACUCGACCUCAUGAAGUCGGAGUCGCUAGUAAUCGCAGAUCAGCAACGCUGCGGUGAAUACGUUCCCGGGGCU
Molecule: ribosomal RNA, 1346 nt
Filed under: uncultured bacterium
Lineage: Bacteria
Description: bacterial SSU rRNA
Rfam family: Bacterial small subunit ribosomal RNA
Source: RNAcentral